GCCAAGGCCUGUAAAGGGGCCCUGACCAGCUAAAUUCCGCCGUUGUUUUGAGAUACUAGAUACUAUAUAUAUUAGAUACUAACCUAGCUACCGUCAACGGGUACUGGCUAACUAGAUAGUGUAACGACCCUGAGUUUAUAAGCGCGGAUUUCGCGCUUUUGGGACACAAUCGAUAGCGCGCUGGACUUCGGCUAGAAGGUCGAGGGAUCGAGACCUGCUCCAUUACACUAGUUAAAGAUUUGUAGUUAAGGACGCUGCUAACGAGUAUGAGGCCACCUCACAGUACAUCCAACUGGCCUCAAGACCGCAGACCACAUGUAACCAGCCCAGGACUUCCAGAUCACCUGCGGGAUCGUCAGAGGGGGGAUAUUUCUGUCUGUAAUAAAGCUCUUUAGUGGAGAAAAACUCACUCUGAUUGGCUGGGCCUGGCUCCCCAGUGGGUGGGCCUCUGCCCUCCCAUGGCUGCACUCCUGCCAAGUCAUGGAAAAUCAAUAGAUUAGAGCCGAAUUAAUUUAAAUUGACUGAUUUGCUUAUGAAUUUAGCAAACUCUUGGAAAUUGUUGUAUGUUGCAUUUAUAUUAUUGUUCAUUAUACAUAGUGCAGUUCAAAAUGCUGAAAACAGGGCACAUAAAUUGUCAGAUCAAAAAACAAUGUAUUUUAACAGUUUAGAUUUAUAAAACAAAUAAUUACAAAUGUAUAAAAUACAUAAAGCCCAUUAUAAAUAAUUUAAAGUACACCUUAAUGUAAAGUGUUACCUUCAACAUCUACCACCAUGUAUCCCAUUUUACCGUACAAAAUCCAAUAAAAAAAUACCGUACAAAACAAGUGCUGGUGACAAACCAA
Molecule: long non-coding RNA, 842 nt
Organism: Oncorhynchus nerka (sockeye salmon)
Lineage: Eukaryota; Metazoa; Chordata; Actinopteri; Salmoniformes; Salmonidae
Exons: 2
Source: RefSeq, a predicted model, not a curated record